RNAcentral lists this ribosomal RNA (437 nucleotides) under uncultured bacterium. Its description in RNAcentral is "partial 16S ribosomal RNA". It matches the Rfam family "Bacterial small subunit ribosomal RNA", at positions 29 to 507 of the family's 1533-position model. The record is from RNAcentral.
AGCGAACGCUGGCGGCAGGCUUAACACAUGCAAGUCGAGCGGGCAUCCUUGUGGUGUCAGCGGCAGACGGGUGAGUAACGCGUGGGAAUGUGCCCUUCGGUUCGGAAUAACUCAGGGAAACUUGAGCUAAUACCGGAUACGUGCGAGAGCAGAAAGGUUUAUCUGCCGAAGGAUCGGCCCGCGUCUGAUUAGCUAGUUGGUGAGGUUAUGGCUCACCAAGGCGACGAUCAGUAGCUGGUCUGAGAGGAUGAUCAGCCACACUGGGACUGAGACACGGCCCAGACUCCUACGGGAGGCAGCAGUGGGGAAUAUUGGACAAUGGGGGCAACCCUGAUCCAGCCAUGCCGCGUGAGUGAUGACGGCCUUAGGGUUGUAAAGCUCUUUUCUACGGGACGAUAAUGACGGUACCGGAGGAAUAAGCCCCGGCUAACUUCGUG